Molecule: ribosomal RNA, 253 nt
Filed under: uncultured bacterium
Lineage: Bacteria
Description: partial 16S ribosomal RNA
Rfam family: Bacterial small subunit ribosomal RNA
Source: RNAcentral
UACGUAGGUGGCAAGCGUUGUCCGGAUUUAUUGGGCGUAAAGCGCGCGCAGGCGGUUCGUUCAGUCCGUUGUGAAAGCUCCCGGCUCAACUGGGAGAGGUCUUCGGAUACUGGCGGACUCGAGGGAGGCAGAGGAAGGUGGAAUUCCCGGUGUAGCGGUGAAAUGCGCAGAUAUCGGGAGGAACACCAAUGGCGAAGGCAGCUCGCUGGGACGGUACUGACGCUGAGGCGCGAAAGCGUGGGGAGCAAACAGG